This 1343-nucleotide ribosomal RNA is filed under the name uncultured bacterium. RNAcentral describes it as "16S ribosomal RNA". It matches the Rfam family "Bacterial small subunit ribosomal RNA", at positions 28 to 1378 of the family's 1533-position model. The record is from RNAcentral.
GACGAACGCUGGCGGCGUGCUUAACACAUGCAAGUCGAACGGAAAGGCCCUGCUUUUGUGGGGUGCUCGAGUGGCGAACGGGUGAGUAACACGUGAGUAACCUGCCCUUGACUUUGGGAUAACUUCAGGAAACUGGGGCUAAUACCGGAUAGGAGCUCCUGCUGCAUGGUGGGGGUUGGAAAGUUUCGGCGGUUGGGGAUGGACUCGCGGCUUAUCAGCUUGUUGGUGGGGUAGUGGCUUACCAAGGCUUUGACGGGUAGCCGGCCUGAGAGGGUGACCAGCCACAUUGGGACUGAGAUACGGCCCAGACUCCUACGGGAGGCAGCAGUGGGGAAUAUUGCACAAUGGGCGGAAGCCUGAUGCAGCAACGCCGCGUGCGGGAUGACGGCCUUCGGGUUGUAAACCGCUUUCGCCUGUGACGAAGCGUGAGUGACGGUAAUGGGUAAAGAAGCACCGGCUAACUACGUGCCAGCAGCCGCGGUGAUACGUAGGGUGCGAGCGUUGUCCGGAUUUAUUGGGCGUAAAGGGCUCGUAGGUGGUUGAUCGCGUCGGAAGUGUAAUCUUGGGGCUUAACCCUGAGCGUGCUUUCGAUACGGGUUGACUUGAGGAAGGUAGGGGAGAAUGGAAUUCCUGGUGGAGCGGUGGAAUGCGCAGAUAUCAGGAGGAACACCAGUGGCGAAGGCGGUUCUCUGGGCCUUUCCUGACGCUGAGGAGCGAAAGCGUGGGGAGCGAACAGGCUUAGAUACCCUGGUAGUCCACGCUGUAAACGGUGGGUACUAGGUGUGGGGUCCAUUCCACGGGUUCCGUGCCGUAGCUAACGCUUUAAGUACCCCGCCUGGGGAGUACGGCCGCAAGGCUAAAACUCAAAGGAAUUGACGGGGCCCCGCACAAGCGGCGGAGCAUGCGGAUUAAUUCGAUGCAACGCGUAGAACCUUACCUGGGUUUGACAUGGAUCGGGAGUGCUCAGAGAUGGGUGUGCCUCUUUUGGGGUCGGUUCACAGGUGGUGCAUGGCUGUCGUCAGCUCGUGUCGUGAGAUGUUGGGUUAAGUCCCGCAACGAGCGCAACCCUUGUUCACUGUUGCCAGCACGUUAUGGUGGGGACUCAGUGGAGACCGCCGGGGUCAACUCGGAGGAAGGUGGGGAUGACGUCAAGUCAUCAUGCCCCUUAUGUCCAGGGCUUCACGCAUGCUACAAUGGCUGGUACAGAGAGUGGCGAGCCUGUGAGGGUGAGCGAAUCUCGGAAAGCCGGUCUCAGUUCGGAUUGAGGUCUGCAACUCGACCUCAUGAAGUCGGAGUCGCUAGUAAUCGCAGAUCAGCAACGCUGCGGUGAAUACGUUCCCGGG